This 1115-nucleotide long non-coding RNA is filed under the name Anas platyrhynchos platyrhynchos (common mallard). RNAcentral's name for it is "lncRNA (ENSAPLG00000025471.1)". The record is from RNAcentral. Lineage: Eukaryota; Metazoa; Chordata; Aves; Anseriformes; Anatidae.
CCGCGGGGGCAAGCGGCGGCCGCCACCGCCUCACGGCGGCCCACAGGCCAAAGCAGUGGCUGAAAAGAAAAAUGUGAACGAGCAGGAAUUUAACUUCGAAAAAGUAAGUCACGGGGAUCUAUCAAAUCUCAGCACUUUAUUGUGUGUGUCUGCGUAUCUAUAUGCUUGGGAAAGCUGCGGUGGGACCGAGGAGAAACACUGCCAGAAAAAGUUAGCUUUUCAUGUUACUUUGGCUGUGUGCUGUGCUGGAGGACUGUGUGGACAGCUCUGUACAGAGAGAGACAUGUUACAGCUCAGUGUCCUUUCUUUCUGAUCCCUCACUGAUAAUUUGAUGAGGUGCACUGUAUGUCAGCAGUGUGAAGCUCUGUGAGUACCCAUGAUGUGUAGCAUAUGCUGUUUUAGGCACGUGGUGUUAAAUUUGCAUUUCUGAUCCCAUAUGGAAAAGGAGGUUUAAAAAAAAAAAAGCAGCUUGGCUUCCAUUUUUGAAAUAACAGAUGACUUCAUUCCAUUUAUUUUUUUUGUGCUAUUCUAUAAGUGUAGCAAGCAGUCACCUUCUUAGCUACAGAUUUUUUUGCAGAUUUGUGCGAGUUGUUUUGCAUGCCCAAUCUCUGCCCAGGGUCGUUCUGUGAUCCAGCAAGACCUUCCAGUGGAGAUUCUGUGUGGAGGGCGGUACUGGUGGAAACACUGGGGCUUCAACUACUACCUCUAUAAAGGUUAUGAUUUCCCUGCUGGUUUUGCUAGGGAGUUCUGGUAUAGUGGCAACUCUGUACGUGUAUUUACAUAGUUGAACCACUGCACCAGAUGCCCAUUUGUGUUUCUCACUGGUCAAAAGCUCCGCAGCCAAGGAAUGGGAGCGCUCUGCAAUUGCUGGGUGCUGUGGGUAGCAUGUUUUAUUGUUCAGGUCUGUAUAGCACAACAUAGUCCACUUUUAUACAAAGCAGGUCCUUCCCAUGUGUCCAGUUUUUGUGUGAAAUGAGAAUCAAAUACUGACCCUCUCGUCAGAGAUUGGACCCUCAUUGUCCAGAGAUUAGAUGGACAGCAGUUAAGUGUUCUGCAGUAUAAUUCAAAACUCAGUAUUAUUUUAUAGUAUGCCAAAUUCAGGUUUUAGCUAAGGU